This 496-nucleotide ribosomal RNA is filed under the name uncultured bacterium. Its description in RNAcentral is "partial 16S ribosomal RNA". It matches the Rfam family "Bacterial small subunit ribosomal RNA", at positions 28 to 506 of the family's 1533-position model. The record is from RNAcentral.
GAUGAACGCUGGCGGCGUGCCUAAUACAUGCAAGUCGAACGGACAGACGAGGAGCUUGCUUCUUUGACGUUAGCGGCGCGCGGGUGUGUAACAUGUGUAUAACCUACCUAUCAGACUGGGAACACCUCGGGAAACCGGAGCUUAUACCGGAUGAUCUUCUGAAGCGCAGGGUGCAAAAGAGAAAGACGGCCUUUCUGGCACUUAUCGAUGCUUCCGGGCUGCAUUAGGUAGUUGGUGAGGUAACGGCUUACCAAGGCAACGAUGCAUAGCCGAGCUGCGAGGGGGAUCAGCGACACUGGAGGUGAGCGGCGGUCCAGAGUCCGACGGGAGGCAGAAGUAGGGAAGGUUGCGCAGUGGGCGAAAGCCUGACGGAGGGACGCCGCGUGGAUGAAGAAGGUCGGCGGGUGGUAAAACUCUGUUAGUGGGGAAGAACGUAUGUGUAAGUAACGGUGCGCAUGUUGAGGGUACCUGAAAAGAAAGCCACGGCUAACUGCGU